GUUCCUAUGGCUUUAUGAUGUAUAAAUAUGAAUUUAAAGCAAAGGUCAAAAUCUAGAACGUCCAAUUAACCUUUGACCUUGACCUCAAUUUCAAGGUCAUAGACUAAACAUCUCGAAUCAAAAGACACUAGUUCCUUGAUAUGUAUGGUUCAUGAGUAAUAUCACUUUACGCAUAAUUCUAAAUAUAAGAGGGGCGAAAAACUCCCGUUUGAUGUCUACGCACCCUAGCAA
This 231-nucleotide long non-coding RNA is filed under the name Mytilus galloprovincialis (Mediterranean mussel). Lineage: Eukaryota; Metazoa; Mollusca; Bivalvia; Mytilida; Mytilidae. The record is from RNAcentral.